RNAcentral lists this ribosomal RNA (513 nucleotides) under uncultured bacterium. Its description in RNAcentral is "partial 16S ribosomal RNA". It matches the Rfam family "Bacterial small subunit ribosomal RNA", at positions 355 to 860 of the family's 1533-position model. The record is from RNAcentral.
UGGGGAAUUUUGGACAAUGGGCGAAAGCCUGAUCCAGCAAUGCCGCGUGUGUGAAGAAGGCCUUCGGGUUGUAAAGCACUUUUGUCCGGAAAGAAAUCCUUGGCUCUAAUACAGUCGGGGGAUGACGGUACCGGAAGAAUAAGCACCGGCUAACUACGUGCCAGCAGCCGCGGUAAUACGUAGGGUGCAAGCGUUAAUCGGAAUUACUGGGCGUAAAGCGUGCGCAGGGCGGUUUGCUAAGACCGAUGUGAAAUUCCCGGGCUCAACCUGGGAACUGCAUUGGUGACUGGCAGGCUAGAGUAUGGCAGAGGGGGGUAGAAUUCCACGUGUAGCAGUGAAAUGCGUAGAGAUGUGGAGGAAUACCGAUGGCGAAGGCAGCCCCCUGGGCCAAUACUGACGCUCAUGCACGAAAGCGUGGGGAGCAAACAGGAUUAGAUACCCUGGUAGUCCACGCCCUAAACGAUGUCAACUAGUUGUUGGGGAUUCAUUUCCUUAGUAACGUAGCUAACGCGC